This 447-nucleotide ribosomal RNA is filed under the name uncultured bacterium. RNAcentral's name for it is "bacterial SSU rRNA". It matches the Rfam family "Bacterial small subunit ribosomal RNA", at positions 355 to 825 of the family's 1533-position model. The record is from RNAcentral.
UGGGGAAUAUUGGACAAUGGGCGCAAGCCUGAUCCAGCCAUGCCGCGUGAGUGACGAAGGUCUUCGGAUUGUAAAACUCUUUUGGCGGGGACGAUAAUGACGGUACCCGCAGAAUAAGCCCCGGCUAACUUCGUGCCAGCAGCCGCGGUAAUACGAAGGGGGCUAGCGUUGUUCGGAAUCACUGGGCGUAAAGCGCACGUAGGCGGAUGUGCCAGUCAGGGGUGAAAUCCCGGAGCUCAACUCCGGAACUGCCUCUGAUACUGCACGUCUUGAGUUCGAGAGAGGUGGGUGGAAUUCCUAGUGUAGAGGUGAAAUUCGUAGAUAUUAGGAAGAACACCGGUGGCGAAGGCGGCCCACUGGCUCGAUACUGACGCUGAGGCUCGAAAGCGUGGGGAGCAAACAGGAUUAGAUACCCAAGUAGUCCCUGAGCGGGCUGGCAAGGCGCAU